AAGAAGGUGUGUUGGGUGUGGUGACACAUGUGAGGAUGGCGGCAGCAAAAAAAAAGAAGCUGGACAUAAGGAGCUUUUUUUCAAAGAAAAGUGUGACAGAACCUAAACAACUGUGCUGUGUAUCAGACAGUGAUGGAGAGAAGGGGUCACAGGGGACAGAAGCAGAUCAGCCAUGUUGUAGUUCAGGUGAAGAGGCAAGGUCACAGGA
Molecule: long non-coding RNA, 208 nt
Organism: Brienomyrus brachyistius
Lineage: Eukaryota; Metazoa; Chordata; Actinopteri; Osteoglossiformes; Mormyridae
Exons: 3
Source: RefSeq, a predicted model, not a curated record